GUAAUGACCUCCAAUGCUAAUAUAUCGGCGGGCAGGUUCUAAUGUUCAGGCCCGCCGAGAGCCAUGAAUUGUGUAUGAUGGAACUACCGAGGGUUGGGCAACCCUUGUGCAAUUCGUGUUUUAAAGAAGCUGGUUUUUAAAAGUAAGCCCUCUAUUGUAUUUUUAAUGGAGACACUAGUCUCUUCUUCAAGAAUUAGUGAAAUAAAGCUCCUUAUUGGUUAUGAUAGUUGUUUUGUGGUUGAUUGUGUGGGGAGAAGUGGUGGUUUAGCUCUGUUUUGGAAGAAUUCAGUUUCUGUUCAAGUGAGUGGUUUUUCUCAAAAUCACAUAGAUUGUGUUGUUAACUCCAACAUUUCAGGUUCUUGGCGUUUUAUAGGUUUUUAUGGGUAUCCUGAACAAGCUCGUAGGCAAGCUUCUUGGGAUUUUCUUCAAAGUCUUGCUUUGGUUUCUAAUCACCCUUGGUUGUGUAUAGGUGAUUUUAAUGACAUGCUUUUUGCCUUGGAUAAAAGUGGUGGUGUUCCUCAAUCUCAAUUUUACUUAAUGGCUUUCAAUCGACCAUAGAUGACUGCUCUUCUUGAUUUGCCUUUAAUCGGUUAUCAAUUCACUUGGGAACGGAGUAGGGGGUCUGAAAGGUAAUUGGAUCGAGCUUUUGUUACUGUUGAUUGGCUUCUUCUUUUUCCGAAUGUUCAUUUGCAUAAUCUUGUUGCUUCUGUUUCUGAUCAUUCAUCGAUUAAAAUUAUUCUUGAUAGUCCUCCAUCUCGCUAUUCAAAGUACAGGUUUCUCUUUGGAAAUGCGUGGUUCCUUGAACCCGAACUUACUCAUAUAGUGGAGAAUUCUUGGUGUUUAACAGUUGGUUCACACUUGUUAGAAAGUAUUGAUGGUUGUGCUAAAGAUUUGGCAUCGUGGGGCAAGUCUAUUGCUCAUAGGUUCAUUUCUGAAAAAGACAGGCUAAAAUCUAAGCUUGAUCAAUUGUGACGUGGUUUGGGUGAUGUUAAUGCGCAAGAGAUUAUUAAGACGAGGAGAGCUUUUAAUGUCAUUCUUGAGUAGGAAGAAGUCUUUUGGAAGCAGCGUUCUAUGUCUUUUUGGUUGACGCAUGGAGAUUUAAAUACAAAAUUUUUUCAUUCCCAAGCUUCUGAAUGUAGGAGGACGAAUCACAUUGUUUCUCUUCAUGAUGGAGAUGGUAACUUGGUUUCUAAUCAAGAGGGUAUGUGUUCAAUUGUUUAUGAUUAUUUUAAUGCUUUAUUUUCUACGUCCACUAGUGAUAGUGAGAAAGUGGUUCAUUUGGUUGAUCGACGAGCUAGAGAGGAUGACAAUACAAAUCUUGUGCGACAUUUCUCUUUCGAGGAAUUUAAAUUUGCUAUUAAUCAGAUGCAUCCUGAUAAGGAGCCAAGCCUGGAUGGCAUUAACCCCACUUUUUAUCAAAAAUUUUGGCAUUUAUUGGCGGAGGAUGUGUUUCGGAGUUAUUGUACUUGGCUUGAGCAAAGUGCUUUUCCUGAGAAUUUAAACAAUACUACUAUUGUUUUAAUUCCAAAAGUUCCUGCUCCUAAUAAUAUGAAAAAUCUUCGGCCAAUAUCGCUUUUGUGAUGUAGUGUACAAGCUUAUUGCUAAAGUAUUGGCUAAGAGGCUUAAAGCUCUU
Molecule: unclassified non-coding RNA, 1633 nt
Filed under: Hevea brasiliensis (rubber tree)
Lineage: Eukaryota; Viridiplantae; Streptophyta; Magnoliopsida; Malpighiales; Euphorbiaceae
Source: RNAcentral